CGCAAACCACACCUCCGGAUCUUCAGGG
This 28-nucleotide small RNA is filed under the name Bombyx mori (domestic silkworm). Its description in RNAcentral is "piRNA piR-bmo-1500483". Lineage: Eukaryota; Metazoa; Arthropoda; Insecta; Lepidoptera; Bombycidae. The record is from RNAcentral.